This 429-nucleotide ribosomal RNA is filed under the name Actinomycetes bacterium. Its description in RNAcentral is "Actinobacteria bacterium partial 16S ribosomal RNA". It matches the Rfam family "Bacterial small subunit ribosomal RNA", at positions 355 to 776 of the family's 1533-position model. The record is from RNAcentral. Lineage: Bacteria; Bacillati; Actinomycetota; Actinomycetes.
UAGGGAAUCUUCCGCAAUGGGCGAAAGCCUGACGGAGCAACGCCGCGUGAGUGAUGAAGGUCUUCGGAUCGUAAAACUCUGUUAUUAGGGAAGAACAAAUGUGUAAGUAACUAUGCACGUCUUGACGGUACCUAAUCAGAAAGCCACGGCUAACUACGUGCCAGCAGCCGCGGUAAUACGUAGGUGGCAAGCGUUAUCCGGAAUUAUUGGGCGUAAAGCGCGCGUAGGCGGUUUUUUAAGUCUGAUGUGAAAGCCCACGGCUCAACAGUGGAGGGUCAUUGGAAACGGGAAAACUUGAGUGCAGAAGAGGAAAGUGGAAUUCCAUGUGGAGCGGUGAAAUGCGCAGAGAUAUGGAGGAACACCAGUGGCGAAGGCGACUUUCUGGUCUGUAACUGACGCUGAUGUGCGAAAGCGUGGGGAUCAAACAGG